This 827-nucleotide long non-coding RNA is filed under the name Mytilus galloprovincialis (Mediterranean mussel). Lineage: Eukaryota; Metazoa; Mollusca; Bivalvia; Mytilida; Mytilidae. The record is from RNAcentral.
UGUGUCCAACCAGCACUGAAGUCUGCUACCAAACAUCUAAAACAAUAAUAAGUCUCUAUAAGACACCAUGCCCAACUAACAGUAGCAUAAACAUGAUAAACUGCAAAAUCUUUUCUGUCCAAUUAUAAGCAUUUUGUGUCAAAAUAUAUUUUAUGUAUAGGAUAUUUGUGUCAAUAUGUAUCUAUAACAAAUUUGUGUCAUUUAGAAUUAUCUUUUGUGAUGAACUAAUUUACAAAUAAAUUAUAGAAUAAUUGCAAUACAUAUUAGAGAGAACAACAAACCAUAUAAUAACUAGCCUCCUCCGAAUAUAUAUUAAGGCGAUACCUAACGCUACAGGGAGAUAACUCUGUAAAAUCAGCUAAACGUUUUAAUUACGUUGUGUUGUUUUGGGAAUAUUAAGCUUCUCGAUGAUCAAAAUAAGUGUUUGUCAAACUGCUAUAUAACCAGUGUAAUUUUUCUGUUAAAACGGUUAAUUAAAAUUUUUUGAAAUUUCUAUAUUUUUGUCAAAGGGUCAGAGUAAAUACUUUGUCAAAAUUUUAUGAAAAUCAAACGAGCCAAAUUAGUUUUAGUUAAGGUGUUGGGUACCACCUUAAGAAAAAAUAAUGAAGAAUACAUAAUCCAGACAGAUUGACUAGACACUUAAAUCUUCCCUUUUACCAUUUGCCCCCUCUAUAGACUUUAUGUAGACUAACAUAAAUUUUCUAUUUUCACUACACUUAAAAUGUGUAAGUGGAGUUCUAAGAGCACAGUUAUGCAAAAAAAAAUAUAGGUUUUGAUAAUUUGAACCACAUUAUGAGCAUUAUUUGGCAUAUGACUAGAUAUAUUUU